UGGGGAAUUUUGCGCAAUGGGCGAAAGCCUGACGCAGCAACGCCGCGUGUGUGAUGAAGGUCUUCGGAUCGUAAAACCCUGUCGUCAGGGACGAAGGUUGUAUAUCUAACAGGUGUGCAACUUGACGGUACCUGGAGAGGAAGCCCCGGCUAACUCUGUGCCAGCAGCCGCGGUAAUACAGAGGGGGCAAGCGUUAUUCGGAAUUAUUGGGCGUAAAGCGUGCGCAGGCGGUUAUACAAGACAGGCGUGAAAUCCCCGGGCUUAACCUGGGAAUGGCGCCUGUGACUGUAUAGCUAGAGUGUGUCAGAGGGGGGUAGAAUUCCACGUGUAGCAGUGAAAUGCGUAGAUAUGUGGAGGAAUACCAGUGGCGAAGGCGAAUCUCUGGGCAUUACCUGACGCUCAUGCACGAAGGCCAGGGGAGCAAACGGG
This 429-nucleotide ribosomal RNA is filed under the name uncultured bacterium. Its description in RNAcentral is "bacterial SSU rRNA". It matches the Rfam family "Bacterial small subunit ribosomal RNA", at positions 355 to 776 of the family's 1533-position model. The record is from RNAcentral.